GACGAACGCUGGCGGCGUGCUUAACACAUGCAAGUCGAGCGAUGAAGCACCUUCGGGUGUGAAUUAGCGGCGAACGGGUGAGGAACACGUGAAGAAUCUGCCUUCAACUCUGGGAUAACUCCGGGAAACCGGGGCUAAUACCGGAUAUGAGCCUUGAUCGCAUGAUCGGGGCUGGAAAGUUUUUCGGUUGAAGGUGACUUCGCGGCCUAUCAGCUUGUUGGUGAGGUAAUGGCUCACCAAGGCGACGACGGGUAGCCGGCCUGAGAGGGCGACCGGCCACACUGGGACUGAGACACGGCCCAGACUUCAACGGGAGGCAGCAGUGGGGAAUAUUGGGCAAUGGAGGAAACUCUGACCCAGCGACGCCGCGUGAGGGAUGAAGGCCUUCGGGUUGUAAACCUCUUUCAGUAGGGAAGUAGCGAAAGUGACGGUACCUACAGAAGAAGCACCGGCUAACUAUGUGCCAGCCGCCGCCGUAA
RNAcentral lists this ribosomal RNA (479 nucleotides) under uncultured bacterium. RNAcentral describes it as "partial 16S ribosomal RNA". It matches the Rfam family "Bacterial small subunit ribosomal RNA", at positions 28 to 523 of the family's 1533-position model. The record is from RNAcentral.